Molecule: ribosomal RNA, 782 nt
Filed under: uncultured archaeon
Lineage: Archaea
Description: bacterial SSU rRNA
Rfam family: Archaeal small subunit ribosomal RNA
Source: RNAcentral
CGGUUGAUCCUGCCGGACCCGACUGCUAUUUGGGUGAGGAUAAGCCAUGCGAGUUGAAUGGGAAACCUAAAGUUCCCAUGGCAAACUGCUCAGUAACACAUGAUCAACUUACCCUAUAGAGAAAAAUAACCUCGGGAAACUGAGGAUAAUGUUUCAUAGCUGAAUUGGCUUGGAAAAGUUUUUCGGCGAAAAGGGUAAAAAAAAUGGUUUUUAUCUGCUAUAGGAUAGGAUCGUGUUCGAUUAUGGUUGUUGGUGAGGUAAUGGCUCACCAAGCCGAUAAUCGAUAGGGGCCGUGAGAGCGGGAGCCCCGAGAUGGGUACUGAGACAACGACCCAGGCCUUACGAGGCGCAGCAGGCGCGAAACCUCCGCAAUACACGAAAGUGUGACGGGGUUACCCAAAGUGUUCAAUAGAACUGUGGUAGGUGGGUAAUGUUCCCUACUAGAAAGGAGAGGGCAAGGCUGGUGCCAGCCGCCGCGGUAAAACCAGCUCUUCAAGUGGUCGGGAUAAUUAUUGGGCUUAAAGUGUCCGUAGCCGGUUUAGUAAGUUCCUGGUAAAAUCGGGUAGCUUAACUAUCUAUAUGCUAGGAAUACUACUAUACUAGAGGGCGGGAGAGGUCUGAGGUACUACAGGGGUAGGGGUGAAAUCUUAUAAUCCUUGUUGGACCACCAGNGGCGAAGGCGUCAGACUGGAACGCGCCUGACGGUGAGGGACGAAAGCCAGGGGAGCGAACCGGAUUAGAUACCCGGGUAGUCCUNNCGUAAACGAUGCAUACUAGGUGAU